Molecule: ribosomal RNA, 331 nt
Filed under: uncultured bacterium
Lineage: Bacteria
Description: bacterial SSU rRNA
Rfam family: Bacterial small subunit ribosomal RNA
Source: RNAcentral
CGCGUAGGCGGGCCAUCAAGUCCGGGGUGAAAUCUUUCGGCUCAACCGGAAAAGUGCCUUGGAUACUGAUGGUCUUGAGCGAGGUAGGGGCAUGUGGAACUUCCGGUGGAGCGGUGAAAUGCGUUGAUAUCGGAAGGAACUCCGGUGGCGAAAGCGACGUGCUGGACCUCUUCUGACGCUGAGGCGCGAAAGCUAGGGGAGCGAACGGGAUUAGAUACCCCGGUAGUCCUAGCCCUAAACGAUGGGUACUAGGUUGUGGACUUAACAUGGGUUCACAGCCGAAGCAAAAGUGUUAAGUACCCCGCCUGGGGAGUAUGGUCGCAAGGCUGAA